RNAcentral lists this ribosomal RNA (548 nucleotides) under uncultured Glomeromycotina. RNAcentral describes it as "SSU rRNA". It matches the Rfam family "Eukaryotic small subunit ribosomal RNA", at positions 548 to 1098 of the family's 1831-position model. Lineage: Eukaryota; Fungi; Glomeromycota. The record is from RNAcentral.
UUGGAGGGCAAGUCUGGUGCCAGCAGCCGCGGUAAUUCCAGCUCCAAUAGCGUAUAUUAAAGUUGUUGCAGUUAAAAAGCUCGUAGUUGAAUUUCGAGAUCGGCUUACUGGUCGUGCUUUUGUACGUACUGGUAUAAUCGGUUUCUCCUUUCUGACGAACUUUAAUGCCAUUAAUUUGGUGUUUUAGGGAAUCAGGACUGUUACUUUGAAAAAAUUAGAGUGUUUAAAGAAGGCUCACGCUCGAAUACAUUAGCAUGGAAUAACGGAAUAGGACGUUUGAUUCUAUUUUGUUGGUUUCUAGGAUCGACGUAAUGAUUAAUAGGGAUAGUUGGGGGCAUUAGUAUUCAAUUGUCAGAGGUGAAAUUCUUGGAUUUAUUGAAGACUAACUACUGCGAAAGCAUUUGCCAAGGAUGUUUUCAUUAAUCAAGAACGAAAGUUAGGGGAUCGAAGACGAUCAGAUACCGUCGUAGUCUUAACCAUAAACUAUGCCGACUAGGGAUCGGAUGAUGUUAAUUUUUUAAUGACUCAUUCGGCGCCUUACGGGAAAC